RNAcentral lists this ribosomal RNA (403 nucleotides) under uncultured bacterium. Its description in RNAcentral is "bacterial SSU rRNA". It matches the Rfam family "Bacterial small subunit ribosomal RNA", at positions 355 to 775 of the family's 1533-position model. The record is from RNAcentral.
UGGGGAAUAUUGGACAAUGGGCGAAAGCCUGAUCCAGCCAUGCCGCGUGAGUGAUGAAGGCCCUAGGGUUGUAAAGCUCUUUUGUGCGGGAAGAUAAUGACGGUACCGCAAGAAUAAGCCCCGGCUAACUUCGUGCCAGCAGCCGCGGUAAUACGAAGGGGGCUAGCGUUGCUCGGAAUCACUGGGCGUAAAGGGUGCGUAGGCGGGUUUCUAAGUCAGAGGUGAAAGCCUGGAGCUCAACUCCAGAACUGCCUUUGAUACUGGAAGUCUUGAGUGCGGGAGAGGUGAGUGGAACUGCGAGUGUAGAGGUGAAAUUCGUAGAUAUUCGCAAGAACACCAGUGGCGAAGGCGGCUCACUGGCCCGAUACUGACGCUGAGGCACGAAAGCGUGGGGAGCAAACAG